Molecule: ribosomal RNA, 455 nt
Filed under: uncultured bacterium
Lineage: Bacteria
Description: bacterial SSU rRNA
Rfam family: Bacterial small subunit ribosomal RNA
Source: RNAcentral
AGCGAACGCUGGCGGCAGGCUUAACACAUGCAAGUCGAACGGGCGUAGCAAUACGUCAGUGGCAGACGGGUGAGUAACGCGUGGGAACGUACCUUUUGGUUCGGAACAACCCAGGGAAACUUGGGCUAAUACCGGAUAAGCCCUUACGGGGAAAGAUUUAUCGCCGAAAGAUCGGCCCGCGUCUGAUUAGCUAGUUGGUGAGGUAACGGCUCACCAAGGCGACGAUCAGUAGCUGGUCUGAGAGGAUGAUCAGCCACAUUGGGACUGAGACACGGCCCAAACUCCUACGGGAGGCAGCAGUGGGGAAUAUUGGACAAUGGGCGCAAGCCUGAUCCAGCCAUGCCGCGUGAGUGAUGAAGGCCCUAGGGUUGUAAAGCUCUUUUGUGCGGGAAGAUAAUGACGGUACCGCAAGAAUAAGCCCCGGCUAACUUCGUGCCAGCAGCCGCCGCUGUAAU